UAUCCGGAAUUAUUGGGCGUAAAGGGCUCGUAGGCGGUUCGUCGCGUCCGGUGUGAAAGUCCAUCGCUUAACGGUGGAUCCGCGCCGGGUACGGGCGGGCUUGAGUGCGGUAGGGGAGACUGGAAUUCCCGGUGUAACGGUGGAAUGUGUAGAUAUCGGGAAGAACACCAAUGGCGAAGGCAGGUCUCUGGGCCGUCACUGACGCUGAGGAGCGAAAGCGUGGGGAGCGAACAGGAUUAGAUACUCCUGGUAGUCCACGCCGUAAAAGGUGGAUGCUUGGAUGUGGGGA
This 289-nucleotide ribosomal RNA is filed under the name uncultured bacterium. RNAcentral describes it as "partial 16S ribosomal RNA". It matches the Rfam family "Bacterial small subunit ribosomal RNA", at positions 542 to 829 of the family's 1533-position model. The record is from RNAcentral.